AGCCCAGUGGGGCUCAUCCUCAUUUUACCCAGCCCCUAUUCAAGAUGGAGUUACUCUGGUUCAAAUGCCACUGACAUCAUCCCACUGUGAAGCAGAUCUGCAGCUCUGAGUCUGCUCCACAGAUCUCCUGUCCUUCUCCUGGAAUCACAGGGCUGCUGGGGCACAUUCUCUUGGCAAAGGAGAAGAGAGCAAGUGGAACCAUGGGAAGCCUCUUGAGGCUUAGCUCAGAACUGUCACACUGUUGCUUUUGCCAUGUGCCAUUGGGCAAAGUUAGUCACAUGGCCAAGCCCAAAGCUAAGGGGCAAGUAUGUAUGCUCCACUACAAAGAGAUCCUGGCAAGUGUGUGGACUUAUGGAGGGAUGAUGAAGUGAGACUCACAAUUCUGUGCCGGAAGAUAGCACUGCGUGGAAGUGGGGCCACAGGCCUGGAGGUGCCCAGAGGGAAGGUGGCAAGUGGAGACCGUGAGGUGGCAAGAGCAGGAGGCCGGAAGUAUUGUUGGCUCGGUAUCAGACAGAUGUCAUUGUGGCAGUCGGAGGAGACACACAAAGAACUAGAGAGAAAGUGAUCUCAGGAUGAGACUUGAAGGAUGAUUUAGAACAACCAGCAUUAUUGAUCUCCUACUCCAGACCAGGCACCACACUAAGUCCUUGACAUGCAUAACCUCAUUUCAUCUUUAAAACCUGAUGACUGCAAUUCCAAAACUGUGCACUGAGGCACCCUGAGGCACUAUAGAAAACUCACAGAGGCACUGAAACGUAUCUAAAAUUUUGAGGGAAAAGCAAUGACAUCUGUCAGAUACUAUGCCAACAACUAUUAUUAUGUCGCUUGAAGCUAACUACCUAAUAAACAACUGCUACACCUUC
Pan troglodytes (chimpanzee) is the source of this 863-nucleotide long non-coding RNA. RefSeq lists it as uncharacterized. Lineage: Eukaryota; Metazoa; Chordata; Mammalia; Primates; Hominidae. The record is from RefSeq and is a predicted model, not a curated record. The transcript has 2 exons.